This 301-nucleotide ribosomal RNA is filed under the name uncultured bacterium. Its description in RNAcentral is "partial 16S ribosomal RNA". It matches the Rfam family "Bacterial small subunit ribosomal RNA", at positions 509 to 809 of the family's 1533-position model. The record is from RNAcentral.
CAGCCGCCGCGGUAAUACGAAGGGUGCAAGCGUUAAUCGGAAUUACUGGGCGUAAAGCGUGCGUAGGCGGUUUGUUAAGUCUGUUGUGAAAUCCCCGGGCUCAACCUGGGAAUGGCAAUGGAUACUGGCAAGCUAGAGUGUGUCAGAGGAUGGUGGAAUUCCCGGUGUAGCGGUGAAAUGCGUAGAGAUCGGGAGGAACAUCAGUGGCGAAGGCGGCCAUCUGGGACAACACUGACGCUGAAGCACGAAAGCGUGGGGAGCAAACAGGAUUAGAUACCCGGGUAGUCCCUGUCUCUUAUAA